UCCGGUUUAACACCGGCAGUCUCUCUAGAGUGCCCAACUAAAUGGUGGCAACUAGAAAUAAGGGUUGCGCUCGUUAAGGGACUUAACCCGACAUCUCACGAUACGAGCUGACGACAGCCAUGCAGCACCUGUCUCUCAGUCCCCGAAGGGAAGAUCGUAUCUCUACGACUGUCUGAGGAUGUCAAAUCCAGGUAAGGUUCUUCGCGUUGCAUCGAAUUAAACCACAUGCUCCACCGCUUGUGCGGGCCCCCGUCAAUUCCUUUGAGUUUUAAUCUUGCGACCGUACUUCCCAGGCGGGAUACUUAAUGCGUUAGCUGCGACACUGCAGGGGUCAAUUCCCGCAACAUCUAGUAUCCAUCGUUUACGGCGUGGACUAC
RNAcentral lists this unclassified non-coding RNA (377 nucleotides) under uncultured Oligoflexales bacterium. Its description in RNAcentral is "contains 16S-23S intergenic spacer region". Lineage: Bacteria; Pseudomonadati; Bdellovibrionota; Oligoflexia; Oligoflexales. The record is from RNAcentral.